This 4715-nucleotide long non-coding RNA is filed under the name Piliocolobus tephrosceles (Ugandan red Colobus). RNAcentral describes it as "lncRNA (ENSPTEG00000005416.1)". The record is from RNAcentral. Lineage: Eukaryota; Metazoa; Chordata; Mammalia; Primates; Cercopithecidae.
AGUAUGAGCACGAGAUAGAAUAAAGAACGUGUUCGAAGAAGUCAUACAAUAGUUAAGUUUACAACACACAAUACUCUAUAUAUGAAAAUACUGUUUACAGUCAGGUUUAUAUUAACGUUUUUAUUUUACUUUAACAAACAUAUAGUAAGAACGUAUAAAAUAUAUGGAAAUGUGAAAAUAUGCAGACAAACUAAUUUACAACAUGUUACAUUUGCAAACAAAUAUAAAUUUGGGAAUACUAAACGGGUAAUGUCGAAUGCAGUGCUACUAAAUGAUAAUGUACAUAUUGGAAAAACAAGUGAUGACAAAACAGGUGAUGACAAAACAGGUGAUGACAAAACAGGUGAUGACAAAACAGGUGAUGACAAAACGAAUAAUGGCAAGGUCCAACAUAAGUUUUUAUUUAGUCCAAUCAAAAGUAAUAACAUUAAAGAUAUAAAAAGAAGAUUAAGAAUAAGUAAUAAAAAUUAUAAUUUAAAAAAAAAAAAUUAUAUUCUAAAAAAAAAGGAUAUUCACAAGUCAUUAAUUAAUGAUAUUAAUAAAGAGAAUAUAAAAGAAGAAUUACAAAAUAUAGGACAAAAUAACAUAAAAGAAAGUGCAUUAUUACCCUUACCAUUAGAUAAUAAGAAUUCAGAAGGUUAUAAUUGUUUAUUAUUAUGUAAAGGCAUACCAUUUCAUGCUACACGUUCACAAAUUGAAUAUUUUUUUAAGCCAUAUAAACUAAUAUAUAAAUAUAUUAUUUUUAUAAAUGAUAAAAAUGGUCACUUUUUUGGUGAUGUAAUUGUAAGGUUUAUAAAUAAAGAACAAAAGAAAUUAGCAUUAAAAAAUAAAAAUUAUAAAUUUUUAUUACAUAGAUAUAUACAAUUAUUUAAUAUAAAUGAAGAACACUAUGAAGAAUAUUUUAACAUAGGUUAUAAAAACCCUCCGUUAUAUAAAAAUUAUGUACCUGUUAAAAACAUAAUAGUCUCUAAUACGAUGGAAAGGUUUACUGACAGUGUUAGCAGUAUUGAUAUUAUUGAAAGUAGUAAUAGUAGUGUUAGCAGUAACAAUAAUACUGACUCAGCUAUUAUAAAUAACAACAUUUUUGAUGAUGAAGAAACAAAAGAACUUCGAGAAAGGGUCAACCCUAACGGUAUACUUUUGAAAACGUUAUAUACUGGUAAAAGGCUAAAAGGAAGAAUUACAUCUGUGCAUUCUUAUGGUGUUUUUGUUGACUGUGAUGUUUAUAUAAAAAGUAUUAACAAGAAAUAUAUAAAAAUUUUAGCUCUAUUGCAUAAAAAUAAAUUAACUAUAAAUGUAGGUCUACCUUUGGACCCAAAAAAUGAGCAGGAACAAAAAGAAUUAAUUUUAAAAAAAAAUAUGAACAUUAUUGUAUACGUUGACAAAAUUAUAGAUCGAAAUAAGGACUUAUAUGUUCCAGAUGACGUCCUUAUUUUUGGAAAGGGCACUACUACGAGUAGUAGUAGUAGUAGUAGUAGUAGUAGUAACAGUAGUAGUAGUAAUAGUAGUAGUAGUAACAGUAGUAGUAGUAACAGUAGUAGUAGUAACAUUAGUAGUAGUAACAGUAGUAGUAGUAACAGUAGUAGUAGUAACAUUAGUAGUAGUAACAGUAGUAGUAGUAACAGUAGUAGUAGUAACAGUAGUAGUAGUACUAUUAGCAACAACAGGAACAGAAAUAACUUAAUUUUUUUUAAUCUUACCUUAGAUUCUUCUAUCACAAAAGAAAAAAUUGAUUGGCUACAAAAAGCAAAAAUGAAGAGACAAUUAAUAACGAAUAUCAAAAAUAAUAACCCCAAAAAAAAAAUUGCAGAACAUGAAUUUUACUUAAAACCUGUUAAUAAUACUGGACAUUGUGAAAAAGAUUUAGAGGAAGUUGUAAAAGAAGAAAGUGCUGAUAAUACUAACUAUGCCAAACAAAGUGAUAAGCAUACUAAAAGAAGCUCAGGUUGUUAUAACAACAAUGAAAAUGAAUUUAUCAUAGAGGACCAUAACUAUAACUAUCUGAAUGAAAAAAAAAAAAUAAAUACUCUUACAAAAAUAAACUCAAAAGAAAAAACUGUUGUAAAAAGCAAAAUAAAUGUUAGUAAUCGACCUAAUAAGAUUUAUUUAAUAAACAAUUUAAAAUAUAAGCACAACUACAUCGGUGGUAAUGCCAAUACAAUAAAUAAUAAAAAAAAAAAUCAACAAAAACGUAUGAACAGAAUAAAUAGUAAUACAGAAGAAAACGAAAAUAAAAAAGAAGAAAUUGCGUUGCAAAAGCAGAGCGUAGACAUUAAUACCGAGUUAACAGAAAAAGGUAUAAAAAAAUUAUUAAAAAAUAAAAAAAAAAAACAAAAACAAGAACAAAAGCAGAAACAAAAACAGAAAAGUAAAAAAUUAGUUGAUAAUAUUUUAUUUAAUGAAUACGAAAAUUAUGAUGAUAAUUUUAGUGACAAUUUUAGUGACAAUUUUAGUGACAUUUUUUAUGAAAAUGCAAAUAAUACCAUGACGAGCACGGCAGAAGUAGGAGGUGUCGGAAGUACCAGGGUAAGCGAAAUAACCGAACUAACCAGACCAACUGAAUUUUGUGAAUUAAGCAAACCAAGCGAUAUAACUGGAUCAACAGAACCAAAUAAACAUAACAUGUACAACAAUGUAGCAAGAAAUAAAGAAAUGACAAAAGUUUAUGAUGAUGAAGUUAAUACAAUUUUAAAUGACAUUUUUAAUGGUGAUGAUAAAAAAAAAAAAAGUAUUUUAAAUAAUAUUAAUAAUAAAACAGAACUAGAAAAUGAUAGAGAUGGUAAAAAAGAAAAAGGAGAAUUAUUACCGAAUGUUUUGGGAGAGUUACAACUUAAUAGUGGUAGUAUUGUGGGUGGUCCGGACAUGUGUAAUAAUAUUAGUAUGGGUGGUAGUAAUAUUGUUGGUGGUAGCACUAAGAAGAACAUACUAGAAAAUAAUAAUAUGUGUACAAAUUUAGAAAACCAAAAUGAUCGAACAAAAUGGACUAGUGAUAUCAGAAAAGAAGAAUCACUUUUUUACCAAAAGCUUUUUGGAUUAAAAACAGAUAUCAAUGACUUUUACUCAGAAGAUAAAAAAGAAAAGGAUGUAGAUAAAACAAAUGAUAUUUUUUUAGAAAAUCUAGACAAUGAAGUAAAAAAGAAGGAAAGUAUUUUCAAUUUACAAAAAGAAAAUAAUAUAAAAAGUAUUAACAUAAAUAAAAAUGCUAAUAAGAAUCAUGAUACCAAUUGGGUUACCAAUUUUGACUCUAGCUGUGAUAAUAAAAAAAAAAAAAAUAAAAAUAUACUCACUUGUACAAAAAUGAAUGGUAAAAAUGAUGACGAUGAUAGUAAUAAUAAUAAUAAUAAAAAUAAUAGUAAUAAUAAUAAUAGUAAUAAUAAAAAUAGUAAUAAUAAAAAUAGUAAUAAUAAUAAUAAUAAUAAUAAUAAAAAUAGUAAUAAUAAUAAUAAUAAUAAUGGUUUAAACUGUUAUUUAAAUAAUUCAAAAGAAAUUGAUUUUACUCAUUUUUAUACAAUGUCUAUUGAUACACUUAAAAAAGAAAUAUAUAAAAGGAAUUUUUUAUUACCAAUAGAUAUAUCAAAAGAAAGUCUUAUAAAUCGUUUAAUACAAAUAUGUACAUGUGAGAAAAAUAAAAUUCCAUUUGAUAAUUGUCCGAUUAUUAGAUAUUAUUUAUUUGAUUUUAAUGCAUCCGUUGAAGAAAUAAAAUUAUUAGUAUUAUGUAAUAAACAUUUUUUAAAUAAAAAAAAUAUAAAUCAAAACUUUUUAAAUACAUUAGCUAUAAAUGAACUAAAAUAUCUUUUACAUAAAUCGAUGGAGAAUUUUCGAUUAUGGGAACCAAAUGAUAAUAUUAAAAAAAAAAUUUUAAAUUUAAACAAAGAUUUAUUAUUAAAGCAAAAUUUAAAUAAUACUGACCAUAUUAAAUCUCAUAAUUUAUUAAUAUUAUGGAACGACUUUAAAGAUUUUAUGUUAAACUGUGUAUACAGUGUAGAUAUAAAUAAUAACAGUUACGAAAUUUUUGAAAAUAUGCAAUUUAAUGAUUCAUAUAAUAGUAACAUACAUGUAAGAGAGUAUAUAAACAAAAUAAAAAUUAUCGAAAAAAAUAAUUUGUUUGAUAACAGCCAUGGAAAUUGUGACGAUAGUAGUAGCGACAGUCCAAGCAAUAAAGAAAGUAGUAAUAUGCUCAGUAACGUGGUAAACACACAAAUAAAUAAAAGUACAAUUAAUAAUAACAAUGCAUUUGAAACUGCACUAGCUGCAUUAAAUAAACACAUAGAAAAUAACUUAGAUGAUGAUUUGCCAGAUAAAAUAGACCUAAAAGAAGCUAUGAAAAUUUUAAAUGAUAGAACACAUUUAAAAAAAAUUAAACGCUUAUUUAACAACACGAAUGAAAAAAAUAAUGAUCAAGAUUAUAUUCAAAAAAUUAUCCAAUUGAUUUUGAAACAUCAAAAUUUGUUUGAAGUAAAACUAAAUAAAGACAUUCUAAGAGAAAAACCUUAUGAUGAGUUAAUCGUAAGUAGCUAAAAAAAAAAAAAAAAAAAAGGGUACUACUAUAUGGUGAGUCUGAUAUAUAUAUAUAUAUAUAUAUAUAUAUAUUAUAUAUAUAUGUGUGGAGUAUUACUUUUUAUUUUUUUAUAUUUACUUUUAUUUUAGAUGAUGUUGGAUAAACUACCCGCUGACGUACUGGAAGAGUUGCUAUAAUAAAAAAAAAUAAAUAAACA